Molecule: long non-coding RNA, 346 nt
Organism: Arvicanthis niloticus (Nile rat)
Lineage: Eukaryota; Metazoa; Chordata; Mammalia; Rodentia; Muridae
Source: RefSeq, a predicted model, not a curated record
GCACGCACGCCCCACCGAAGCUGCAAACACAGAUCUUAUCUGUGAACUUGCUAAAUGGCUACAGCAUCAUUUUCCACCAAGGCGCCUCCGGAUAUUACUCAUUUGCGGGACUUUCACACAUAGAUUGCAGAGGUGUUUUCCACGAAGGACUGCUUUUCAUUUAGGAGAGGCUGUGGAGGUAGAGACUCGGGGGCUGUGGUGCUCUGCCCUUACAGCGUGGACCACACAGGACACGACGCUGCUAGGCUUCACCUUGUCACGACAGCCCUCUCCGGGGAUGGCUGAGGUGGGAUGGCUCAUCACAUGACCGUCGACCAAAAACUCAUCUUCCAUGCCAUUCCUUCCA